GUUUAUUACCUGUUAUAUAUUUGUUGUCAUAAUAAAAGGAAUGCAUAAUUUUAGAUGCUUUCUUGUUUCAUUAUUAGUUACUGAAACAACUUUAAUGACAAGUGCCCCACAGUAGGUGCUGCUGAUUUAUGUAAUGAACCCAGAGGAGCUGUAUACUUUACUCAGCAAAAGUCAUCAACUAUCAACCAUCAACUACUUAGAGUGCCCCUAUGUUGUCUACAAUUGGCCAGACAGAGUAGUAUGUAUGAAAAACAAAGAAUCACAUCAGAAAAACAUCAGAUCCAGCAACACAGCAACACAGCCAUGGCAGAAAAUAACUGGAUUAUCAUGCUCACUUCUACAUAGGCCAGCAGAGAAGAUGGCUGCCAACAAAUACCAGAAGACACUGUGCAACGGAAUUACCUCCAGACACCAGCUUUACAACACAACCCUAAUAAAACGGACAUAGCAUUAGGUUAGCAGUAAACAAACACCGAGGAAAGAAGUGCUUUAUACUUCCACUUUCCUAAAUUAUAUUGCACCUUUGAUAAAUGCUUCAUUUCAUCUCACAAAUAGAAUGUAUUCAACUUCCACAUUUUUAUCCUGCCUGGGGUGGUUAUAAAGACUGUGUAAUCUGAAAAUGAAUUAAAGGGAAAGUCAAAACAACAACAAAACCUAACAAAUUUUAAGUUGUGUUCAAAGAUAAGUGCUACUAUACUUUAAUACAUGUGCACAAUACAGUACUUCACUCAUUUCAGUGGAGCCAGAUGAAAAGCAGCGUUUCUGCUUUGAGGGGUUUUUUUUUCUUUAAACUUGAUUUCAAUCCAAACUCAGUAAGUUUUAACAUUUCCCACAAACCAGAAGAGCCUUGGACUCUAAAACUGACAAAAAUGUUAGUUUCACUGGAUCAGAAUGUCAGUUUUGCUGAGCAGCUGCAGGAGCCUCCAGCAUCCUUCUGAAUCCCCAGCUUCAGAGGAAAUCUGAAAGAGGUGUUUGCCCAGGAGACCUGACCACCAAGCCAGUCCACCAGAAAUCUCACCAGAGUUCUAGCCAUGGAAUGGGAGGAAAGCCAUCAUAUUUGAGCAUUUUACAACUGGCUCUUAUUUGAACAAUGUAUUACAGCAUUGUAAAGAGCAUCAUCCACAUAAUAUUAACAGCAGACACAGCAAAUUGUGGUAGGAAGUUUCCCAAAAAAGCGUAGAAUGGGUAAGUCUUCUGACAAGCUGAGAAGACAGAAGACCAGGUGGCUGCUGUGCCCCAGCUUGUAUGUUCAAUGUAUAUAUUCGUCCCCAAGGACUGCAGCACAGUCCCUACACCAAAGACAAGAACAGAGGAGGAAAAAUAGAAUACAUUUUUUUCAGAUAUGAAACAUAUAUAGCAAAAUGUGUAUAAUGCAUUAUGUUUUACAGAAUUAUGCUGUAUGGAUAUGUGAAAAAUAUUUUUUUGCAAAGUAUUGAUAUGGUGAUAUUGCUUUUGCUGUUUUCAGUAAAGGAAUAAAGCUGA
Alligator mississippiensis (American alligator) is the source of this 1482-nucleotide long non-coding RNA. RefSeq lists it as uncharacterized. The transcript has 2 exons. Lineage: Eukaryota; Metazoa; Chordata; Crocodylia; Alligatoridae. The record is from RefSeq and is a predicted model, not a curated record.